AUUGAACGCUGGCGGCAUGCCUUACACAUGCAAGUCGAACGGUAACAGGUUAAGCUGACGAGUGGCGAACGGGUGAGUAAUGCAUCGGAACGUGCCCGAUCGUGGGGGAUAACGCAGCGAAAGCUGCGCUAAUACCGCAUACGAUCUGAGGAUGAAAGCGGGGGACCGUAAGGCCUCGCGCGACCGGAGCGGCCGAUGUCAGAUUAGGUAGUUGGUGGGGUAAAGGCUCACCAAGCCAACGAUCUGUAGCUGGUCUGAGAGGACGACCAGCCACACUGGGACUGAGACACGGCCCAGACUCCUACGGGAGGCAGCAGUGGGGAAUUUUGGACAAUGGGCGAAAGCCUGAUCCAGCAAUGCCGCGUGCAGGAAGAAGGCCUUCGGGUUGUAAACUGCUUUUGUACGGAGCGAAAAGGUCCCCUCUAAUACAGGGGGCUCAUGACGGUACCGUAAGAAUAAGCACCGGCUAACUACGUGCCAGCCGCCGCAGUAA
RNAcentral lists this ribosomal RNA (493 nucleotides) under uncultured bacterium. RNAcentral describes it as "partial 16S ribosomal RNA". It matches the Rfam family "Bacterial small subunit ribosomal RNA", at positions 29 to 523 of the family's 1533-position model. The record is from RNAcentral.